This 468-nucleotide ribosomal RNA is filed under the name uncultured bacterium. RNAcentral's name for it is "partial 16S ribosomal RNA". It matches the Rfam family "Bacterial small subunit ribosomal RNA", at positions 28 to 507 of the family's 1533-position model. The record is from RNAcentral.
GACGAACGCUGGCGGCGUGCUUAACACAUGCAAGUCGAACGGAAAGGCCCUGCUUUUGUGGGGUGCUCGAGUGGCGAACGGGUGAGUAACACGUGAGUAACCUGCCCUUGACUUUGGGAUAACUUCAGGAAACUGGGGCUAAUACCGGAUAGGAGCUCCUGCUGCAUGGUGGGGGUUGGAAAGUUUCGGCGGUUGGGGAUGGACUCGCGGCUUAUCAGCUUGUUGGUGGGGUAGUGGCUUACCAAGGCUCUGACGGGUAGCCGGCCUGAGAGGGUGACCGGCCACAUUGGGACUGAGAUACGGCCCAGACUCCUACGGGAGGCAGCAGGGGGGAAUAUUGCACAAUGGGCGGAAGCCUGAUGCAGCAACGCCGCGUGCGGGAUGACGGCCUUCGGGUUGUAAACCGCUUUCGCCUGUGACGAAGCGUGAGUGACGGUAAUGGGUAAAGAAGCACCGGCUAACUACGUG